This 396-nucleotide ribosomal RNA is filed under the name uncultured bacterium. Its description in RNAcentral is "partial 16S ribosomal RNA". It matches the Rfam family "Bacterial small subunit ribosomal RNA", at positions 523 to 918 of the family's 1533-position model. The record is from RNAcentral.
AUACGGAGGGUCCGAGCGUUAAUCGGAAUUACUGGGCGUAAAGCGCGCGUAGGUGGUUCAGUCAGUCAGAUGUGAAAGCCCCGGGCUCAACCUGGGAACUGCACCUGAUACUGCUGAGCUAGAGUACGGUAGAGGGCAGUGGAAUUUCCGGUGUAGCGGUGAAAUGCGUAGAGAUCGGAAGGAACACCAGUGGCGAAGGCGACUGCCUGGACUGAUACUGACACUGAGGUGCGAAAGCGUGGGUAGCAAACAGGAUUAGAUACCCUGGUAGUCCACGCCGUAAACGAUGUCAACUAGCCGUUGGGGGACUUGAUCCUUUAGUGGCGAAGCUAACGCGAUAAGUCGACCGCCUGGGGAGUACGGCCGCAAGGUUAAAACUCAAAUGAAUUGACGGGG